GACGAACGCUGGCGGCGUGCUUAACACAUGCAAGUCGAACGAAAAUACCAAGCUUGCUUGGUUGAUUAGUGGCGAACGGGUGAGUAACACGUGAGUAACCUGCCCCUUACUUUCCUGGAUAACUGCUCGAAAGGGUAGCUAAUACGGGAUAUUCUGACCAGCCUGCAUGGGUUGGUUUGGAAAGGUUGUUUUUCUGGUAAGGGAUGGGCUCGCGGCCUAUCAGCUUGUUGGUGGGGUGAUGGCCUACCAAGGCUUUGACGGGUAGCCGGCCUGAGAGGGUGGACGGUCACACUGGGACUGAGAUACGGCCCAGACACCUACGGGAGGCAGCAGUGGGGAAUAUUGCACAAUGGGCGCAAGCCUGAUGCAGCGACGCCGCGUGAGGGAUGAAGGCCUUCGGGUUGUAAACCUCUUUCGUCAGGGAACAAGGCACUGCUUUUUUGGUGGUGUUGAGGGUACCUGGAUAAGAAGCGCCGGCUAACUACGUG
RNAcentral lists this ribosomal RNA (488 nucleotides) under uncultured bacterium. RNAcentral's name for it is "partial 16S ribosomal RNA". It matches the Rfam family "Bacterial small subunit ribosomal RNA", at positions 28 to 507 of the family's 1533-position model. The record is from RNAcentral.